This 2076-nucleotide ribosomal RNA is filed under the name Triticum aestivum (bread wheat). RNAcentral describes it as "partial small subunit ribosomal RNA". Lineage: Eukaryota; Viridiplantae; Streptophyta; Magnoliopsida; Poales; Poaceae. The record is from RNAcentral.
AUGAACGAUGAUGUGGCUACUUUGGCCAACUGCUUAGAGUUCCCAGAAGAUGAGAAUGAAUUAGAUGGGGAUCUAUCCGACAGCGAUGGCUAUCUUUCAGAGGAUCCUGAGUGUAUGUACUACUCUGACAGUGAUGAUGAUAAUGUUCUGAAAGAGUGUAUUGUACAAGAUGAUCUUGGCGAACAGAACAAUGAGAUGCGUUUGGCUGUGAAAAAGCAAAAGAAAAAGUUGAAGAAGUUGCUGGAUAAGGACCCUAAGUUCGCAAACUUCCUUGAGAAAUGGCAAUUGGAAUUGGUGAACUAUGAAAGUAAAGAAGAUUCAGAUGAAGAAGAUGAGAUGGAUUCUGUGGAAAACGGGGUCGAUUCUGGUGAUAAAGAUCCUCCUAGUGAUAAGAUCCUUACAAGCAAGACAAUAAGUGAAUGGUGUCAACUAGUCUUAGAUGAACCUAAAGCACCUGCUCUGCGUAACCUACUAAAUGCUUUCCGGGAUGCAUGUCAAUUUGGUCUUAAAUCAAAUAGCCUUUCCAUGCAGAGACUUCAAAGUACUGAAGUAUUUUAUCAGAUAAUAUCAUUUGUUCUUUCGAAGGCAGACAACAUUUUCCGUGCUCUCUUAGAAAUUUCUGAUGAUGACAAGGGGAAACUUAUGAAUCAGAGAAAUGGAAAGAAAUGGCAAGAUAUUGAGCUGCUCAUAAAGUCUUACUUGUGGAAUUCUCUUGAUCUGAUUAGUCAACUUACUGAUAACCAAAUACUUACAUAUGUCUUGACUCAGCUUAGAACAUCUGCGGUAUAUUUUUCUGCGUAUCCCUCAACAUCAAGGAGGCUUCUCAAGAUCUUAGUUCGCUUGUGGGCAAGUGGUGAUCAGAACUUGUCCCUGUCUUCGUUUCUUAUGAUUCGAGAAGUGGCUUCACUCUUACCUGACUGUCUGGAUUUCUGCUUAACUAAAACAUAUAAUGCAUACCUUUCCAGUUCCAAGAUUGUGGACAACAGAAAUAUAGAAAAUAUCGAUUUUAUUCUGAACUGUCUGGUGGAACUUUAUUCUCUGGAUAUUCAGAAAGCAGGUGAAAGGGCAGUAAUUUCUGUGGGACAGUUGAGUGCUAUUCUUAGACAGGCGUCUAAAACAAAGGGAAAGGAAGAUCUUUUGAAGAUAGAUAACUGGCAGUUUAUUAACUGCAUAAACCUAUGGGUUAGGUUUAUUUGUGUUAAUUACAAGGAUUGCCACAACCUCCAUCUAUUAUUUUCUUCAGUUGUUCAGAUAAUAAGGGGAGUGGCUCAUUUAUUGCCAGGCAUGCGAUACUUGCCACUGAGACUGAAGCUUGCGCAGAUGCUAAAUGAGCUUUCGAAUUGCAGUCAGAUGUUCUUUCCAGUUCCAUCGUUGAUAUUUGGGUCCCUAGAAUUUAGGGAGACACCUCAGAAAGAACAAACAGAAAAAGGAAAGACCCACUUUUCAUCACUACUGAAGGUGCCAAGGAACAUGCUGAAAUCAAGAGAUUUCCAAGAGCAGUGCGUUCUUUCAGCAAUUGAGGUUCUAUCGGCACAUUUUUUCCAGUGGAGCUAUCAUGUUUCUUUUCCAGAAGUAGCCACCAUUCCGCUCAUCCUCUUGAAAAGAUUGCAAGAGCAGACAACGAUUGAGUCCCUCCGCCGUCCUCUUAAACGAAUGAUAGACCAGGUGAGCGAGAACAGGGAUUUCGUGCAAAGGAAGAGGGAGGUGGUCUCUUUCUCACCAAACGACGUGUCGUCAGUCGAGAGCUUCCUCCAGGUUGGAUUCCGCCCUCGCCAUCGCCAUGAUAUAUUCCCAUAUUUCGUAGACCAUGUCUAUGAUCACAGACCUGACCGACUCUCCCCUGAAACGCAGGAGGAGGAGAUGAAUGGGAACGCUUCCUUCACGCAGUUCUACGCAUCAGUGGCAAAGAGUCGUCAAUCGAGAGGUAUGAGCGACCUUUGUUUGUCUGAUGAACAGCGCCGCCAUCUUCUUCCGAUCUUCAAGUUUGAUGAUGGCUUCGUUCUAAUAUCUGGAACAUUUGGCACGCUGUUUGUUCGCAGGGAGAAAAUUGGUGUAGAGAGCGAUGCUAGGGUGUGA